AACGAACGCUGGCGGCAUGCCUAACACAUGCAAGUCGAACGAGACCUUCGGGUCUAGUGGCGCACGGGUGCGUAACGCGUGGGAAUCUACCCUUGGGUUCGGGUAAGUAAACAAGUGGGAAACGUAACUGCUAAUACCGGACAAUGACGUAAGUCCAAGAAUUUAUUCGCCCAACGGAUGAGCCCGCCGUAGGAUUAGCUAGUUGGUGAGGUAAAAGACUCACCAAGGCGACGAUCCUUAGCUGGUCUGAGAGGAUGAUCAGCCACACUGGGACUGAGACACGGCCC
RNAcentral lists this ribosomal RNA (287 nucleotides) under uncultured bacterium. RNAcentral's name for it is "partial 16S ribosomal RNA". It matches the Rfam family "Bacterial small subunit ribosomal RNA", at positions 29 to 332 of the family's 1533-position model. The record is from RNAcentral.